CCUACGGGUGCAGCAGUGGGGAAUAUUGGACAAUGGGCGAAAGCCUGAUCCAGCCAUGCCGCGUGUGUGAAGAAGGCCUUCGGGUUGUAAAGCACUUUCAGUGGAGAAGAAAGCCUUGGGGCUAAUACCCUCGAGGAAGGACAUCACCCACAGAAGAAGCACCGGCUAACUCCGUGCCAGCAGCCGCGGUAAUACGGAGGGUGCGAGCGUUAAUCGGAAUUACUGGGCGUAAAGCGCGCGUAGGCGGUCUGAUAAGCCGGUUGUGAAAGCCCCGGGCUCAACCUGGGAACGGCAUCCGGAACUGUCAGGCUAGAGUGCAGGAGAGGAAGGUAGAAUUCCCGGUGUAGCGGUGAAAUGCGUAGAGAUCGGGAGGAAUACCAGUGGCGAAGGCGGCCUUCUGGACUGACACUGACGCUGAGGUGCGAAAGCGUGGGUAGCAAACAGGAUUAGAUACCCCUGUAGUC
RNAcentral lists this ribosomal RNA (464 nucleotides) under Vreelandella stevensii. RNAcentral describes it as "partial 16S ribosomal RNA". It matches the Rfam family "Bacterial small subunit ribosomal RNA", at positions 338 to 795 of the family's 1533-position model. The record is from RNAcentral. Lineage: Bacteria; Pseudomonadati; Pseudomonadota; Gammaproteobacteria; Oceanospirillales; Halomonadaceae.